UACGAAGGGGGCUAGCGUUGCUCGGAUUGACUGGGCGUAAAGGGCGCGUAGGCGGUUCGUACAGUCAGACGUGAAAUUCCUGGGCUCAACCUGGGGGCUGCGUUUGAUACGUGCGGACUUGAGUGCGGAAGAGGGUCGUGGAAUUCCUGGUGUAGCGGUGAAAUGCGCAGAUAUCAGGAAGAACACCAAUGGCGAAAGCAGCUCUCUGGGACGGUACUGACGCUGAGACGCGAAAGCGUGGGGAGCGAACAGG
Molecule: ribosomal RNA, 253 nt
Filed under: uncultured bacterium
Lineage: Bacteria
Description: partial 16S ribosomal RNA
Rfam family: Bacterial small subunit ribosomal RNA
Source: RNAcentral